Molecule: unclassified non-coding RNA, 699 nt
Filed under: Zea mays
Lineage: Eukaryota; Viridiplantae; Streptophyta; Magnoliopsida; Poales; Poaceae
Description: misc RNA Zm00001eb428730
Source: RNAcentral
CUCUCUGUCCCUCUCGUCUCGCUUCUUCCCCAACCUGCUCGGUUUCACCAGAUCGCGCCGGACACGGUCGUUGGGCCACCACCAUGAUCUCGACGCGGCUCGCUCUCGGCCACUCGGGUUGGUGGUGGUGAGAGGUCCACAACCACGUCCUAACUCCACCACUUCUCUCCUCUACGACGCGAGCAAGGGCGCCACCGACUGCGGCGUCGGUGGGAACUGGGCCUCGGCCUCCCCAUCUCUCUGAUACCAGGGCAGAUCAGAGCUGGAACUGAAGGUGGCGGGAGCCGAGUGAUCCGGCGGUGAGCUGAGCGGGGCGGGAUGGCGGCGGAGCAGGGGCGGUCGCUGGCGGAGACGCCCACCUGGUCCGUGGCAACCGUCACCACGCUCAUGGUCGCUGUCUGCUUCCUCGUCGAGCGCUCCCUCUCGCCCUUCGCCAAGUGGCUGCGCAAGACCAAGCGGAAGGCCAUGCUCGCCGCGCUCGAGAAGAUCCGCGAAGAGCUGAUGCUGCUCGGAGUCAUCUCGCUGCUGCUCAGCCAGACGACGCGCUUCAUAUCGGAGAUCUGCGUGCCGUCCUCGCUCUUCACCAGCCGCUUCUACAUCUGCUUCGAGAGCGACUACCAGGACCUGCUGCGCAACACGGAUGCCAACCAGACGGCGCUCGAUAGGAACAUGUUCGGUGGCCAGCGGCUGCAUGUCUGU